Molecule: long non-coding RNA, 217 nt
Filed under: Elaeis guineensis (African oil palm)
Lineage: Eukaryota; Viridiplantae; Streptophyta; Magnoliopsida; Arecales; Arecaceae
Description: long non-coding RNA (EGUI_LNC049055)
Source: RNAcentral
CUCUCUCUUUCCUCCACUUUCUUCCUCUAGUUUUUUCUCCACUUUCUAUCUCUAAUUUCUCUCUCUAUAAUUUUUUUCUUUCUAGAUUAUUUCUCUCUUCUAAGAUUUUUUAGAUUUUUGAAAAGAUUGAUGAUGAAUUUGAACGAUCCUAGUGAAAGGGUUCUGAUCCGUAAUCACUGGACAGCGUACUGACACCCAUCUUGAUUAGAUUGGAUAC